UUCGCAAUGCCCGAAAGGGUGACGAAGCGACGCCGCGUGCGGGAAGAAGGCCUUCGGGUUGUAAACCGCUGUCGGGAGUUAAGAAAUGCAAGGGUGUUAACAGCAUCCUUGCUUGACUAAGGCUCCGGAGGAAGCCACGGCUAACUCUGUGCCAGCAGCCGCGGUAAUACAGAGGCGGCAAGCGUUGUUCGGAAUUAUUGGGCGUAAAGAGCACGUAGGCGGCUGUGUAAGUCGGUUGUGAAAGCCUUCCGCUCAACGGGAGAACGGCAUCCGAUACUGCAUGGCUUGAGUGCGGGAGGGGAGAGUGGAACUUCUGGCGGAGCGGUGAAAUGCGUAGAUAUCAGAAGGAACACCGGCGGCGAAGGCGACUCUCUGGCCCGUAACUGACGCUGAGUGUGCGAAAGCUAGGGGAGCAAACGGGAUUAGAUACCCCGGUAGUCCUAGCCGUAAACGAUGGGCACUAAGUAGAGGGGUUUU
RNAcentral lists this ribosomal RNA (477 nucleotides) under uncultured Planctomycetales bacterium. RNAcentral's name for it is "bacterial SSU rRNA". It matches the Rfam family "Bacterial small subunit ribosomal RNA", at positions 365 to 832 of the family's 1533-position model. Lineage: Bacteria; Pseudomonadati; Planctomycetota; Planctomycetia; Planctomycetales. The record is from RNAcentral.